Molecule: small RNA, 103 nt
Filed under: bovine gut metagenome
Description: RT-5 RNA
Rfam family: RT-5 RNA
About the family: Clostridium (Firmicutes). Environment (Cow rumen (57))
Source: RNAcentral
UUGCGCCUGCGGCGGGCACAGCACGGAAUAUCAUAAUACCUUGCAGGCGGUUUUUCCGUGUACUGUCUUGUCAAUUCCGUAACUUACGGAAUUUAACGUAUUU